RNAcentral lists this microRNA precursor (90 nucleotides) under Loxodonta africana (African savanna elephant). Its description in RNAcentral is "miRNA (ENSLAFG00000025466.1)". Lineage: Eukaryota; Metazoa; Chordata; Mammalia; Proboscidea; Elephantidae. The record is from RNAcentral.
UCUUUCAUGGUGGCAUGGAGUCCCUAUCUCUCUGCUCACUUCUCUCUCCUUUUACGAUUGUGAAGGUUGUACAAUAAAAGGUGAUGCAGG